UAGUCAUAUGCUUGUCUCAAAAAUUAACCCAUGCAUGUCUAAGUAUAAGCAAUCUAUACGGUGAAACUGCGAAUGGCUCAUUAAAUCAGUUAUCGUUUAUUUGAUAGUACCUUACUACUUGGAUAACCGUGGUAAUUCUAGAGCUAAUACAUGCUAAAAACCCCGACUUCGGAAGGGGUGUAUUUAUUAAAUAAAAAACCAAUGCCCUUCGGGGCUCCUUGGUGAUUCAUAAUAACUUAACGAAUCGCAUGGCCUUGUGCCGGCGAUGGUUCAUUCAAAUUUCUGCCCUAUCAACUUUCGAUUGUAAGGUAGUGGCUUACAAUGGUUUCAACGGGUAACGGGGAAUUAGGGUUCUAUUCCGGAAAGGGAGCCUGAAAAACGGCUACCACAUCCAAGGAAGGCAGCAGGCGCGCAAAUUACCCAAUCCCGACACGGGGAGGUAGUGACAAUAAAUACUGAUACAGGGCUCUUUUGGGUCUUGUAAUUGGAAUGAGUACAAUUUAAAUCCCUUAACGAGGAACAAUU
Molecule: ribosomal RNA, 525 nt
Filed under: uncultured eukaryote
Lineage: Eukaryota
Description: SSU rRNA
Rfam family: Eukaryotic small subunit ribosomal RNA
Source: RNAcentral